This 305-nucleotide ribosomal RNA is filed under the name uncultured bacterium. Its description in RNAcentral is "bacterial SSU rRNA". It matches the Rfam family "Bacterial small subunit ribosomal RNA", at positions 334 to 632 of the family's 1533-position model. The record is from RNAcentral.
GACCUACGGGAGGCAGCAGUGAGGAAUAUUGGUCAAUGGGCUUACGCCUGAACCAGCCAAGUCGCGUGAGGGAAGACUGCCCUAUGGGUUGUAAACCACUUUAGUAGAGAACGAAAAGGAGCUAUCGAAUAAAUAGCUCUGCUGACGGUACUCUAAGAAUAAGCACCGGCUAACUACGUGCCAGCAGCCGCGGUAAUACGUAGGGUGCGAGCGUUAAUCGGAAUUACUGGGCGUAAAGGGUGUGCAGGCGGCUGAGUAAGACAGAUGUGAAAUCCCCGGGCUUAACCUGGGAACCGCAUAUGUGA